Long non-coding RNA from Homo sapiens (human), 3256 nucleotides. RefSeq lists it as uncharacterized. NCBI's taxonomy places the organism in Eukaryota, Metazoa, Chordata, Mammalia, Primates, Hominidae. The transcript is spliced from 6 exons. The record is from RefSeq and is a predicted model, not a curated record.
CCCCUGGGGGUCGUGGACCCCUGGUUUAAGAUGUUUCUUUACUGUUUUUCUGCUCCUUUUCCUGCUGUUGAGAAUUUUGAUUUCCCUUGUUUUCGUGGUCUUGUAUUCUCUUUCUGGAAGCUUUUACUAUUCAUGAUCUUUUAUCUCUGCAUUUUAAACCUUCACAAUGACAUGCUUUAUUCCUCCUGCUUUGCACUGCUUCAGAAGUUGGCAAACAUCUUGAGGGAAGCCUGGCUCUGUUGACACUCCUGGUCUCCAGUUUUGACAUCCUAGCCCCAGAUGAUGCACCUAAAGUUGAAAAGCUGACUUCCACCUCCUGGGCAACGUGGCUCAGGUUUGUGCGCAGGUCAAGACAAAACUGAUGUCAACACCAGGAAUGAAGGAGAAAUCUGUGGCUUAAUGAAGGUGGAGACCCAGCGUGAAGGAGGCUGUGUCUGUAAGGCAGGGAAAAAAGCCUUCACCAGGAACCAGUGCUGGCACCCUGAUGUCAGACUUCAAGCCUCCAAAGCUGUGAGGGUACUGGUAGCCGCAUAAAACAAGUUGGGGCAUAUUCCAACAAAAUAGAACAUUUUGUGAAAGAGUGUAUAUGAAAAAGUUACUUCUUCCUUGAAUGUGUAAUAGAAUUCACCAGUGGAACCACCAGGGAUUGACAAUUUCUUUAUGGAACCUUGAGACAACCCGAAUUAAGUCCACUCUGGAGCCUGCCCUGUGUGCUCUUUUUCUCUGACUUCAGCAACUGCUAGAUCAACAUGCACAUCCUAUUUUUAUUACGCACACUUCAGCCCCCAGCUCACUGCCUGGCCCUUUGGCUUAUGGCAAUAAUCAAGCAGACCUCCAAGUUAUGACAUCACUGCUUGACCAAGCCACUGAAUCACAUCAAUUCUUCACCGAAACUAGAGAAACUUACUGAACAAUUUCAACUUACUCAAAGACUAGCUAAACAAAUUAUCCUGCAAUGCCCAGAUUGCCAGCUCACAGGCACAUCCCUUCCUUCAACAGGUGAACCUAAACAAUUAUGGCAAACAGAUGUUACACACAUCCCUGAAUUUAGAAAACUAAGAUAUGUAUAUGUAUCAAUUGAUACCAACAUUCAUCUAAUUAGUGCACACGCCCUUCCUGGAGAGUCCACUCGAUAUGUCAUUAAACAUCUUCUAAUUUUUGUGGGCCAUCCCAUAAAUGCAAAAGUUAAAACUGGUAAUGGUCCAGCUUAUGCCAGCUCACAAUUUCAACAAUUCUGUCAUACAUGAAACAUCUAACAUUCCAUUGGUAUGCCAUAUAACCCCCAAGGACAAGGCAUAGUAAAACGUGUCUACUCCACCCUUAAAAAAAUGCUCAAAAAAGGAGGAGUAUGGGUAAAGACCCUGCAACACUAUUGGGACAAGCCUUAUUUACCCUUAAUUUUCUAAAUUUAGAUGACAAAUUUCAAUCACCUAUAGAAAAGCACUUUGUUAAAACUUCUCAAGACAUAAAACCUGCAGUUUUAUGGAAAGAUGUAAACAGUAAUGUAUGGUAUGGUCCAAAUGAAUUAACACGGGGAAGAGGGUAUGCUUGUGUCCACACCCCCUCAGGUCCUCUUUGGAUUCUAGCCCAAUGCAUCAACCCAUACCAUGGCAUGGCUAGGAACUGACCCUGCAGGACCCACAGCCCCGGACGAUGUGGCUUCCACGGUCGACAUAAGCUCUGGAUGUUACCUGGGGAUGCUGAAGGAAUCCUGCUCCAGACACAGACACUGUUCACUCCAGAUAAUUUACUCCUUGCUAUGGUUUCUGUUGUACAUUGCAACUCACCUAGGAUAUUGAUCCUUUCUGUGUUUUCACUUUGUCUGCAACCUGUACCUGCUACACUCUAUUGGGCUCAUAUUUUUCUUUUACCCUGUCACCUGGGCAGACACCCCCUGCUCAGCCUUUAAUAAUGUGACUCCUUGGCUAGGAGGGAUAGAUUUGCCCCCAGUGGGGUCCCUCAAUCAUGGCACACAUUAGACUAAGGUGCCAGAUAACACUACCUGUCACUCCACUAUCCUCUCGCUGUGUAAGUUAUAAAGGUUCGAAUCCUUAUUGUGUAUCUGCCCAAACACAAUUAAGGCUGUAUUAUGGCAAAAAAAAAAAAAAAAAAAAAAAAAAAGCCUUAAAAGUCUUAGUUGCAGGUAGCCUCAAACCAGGUAAUGCAAUCAGUGCUGCUUUUCCAAACAUUGCUUCCUGUGCUAAAGAACAAAGCUGGGAAAGUAAUGGAUUGCACUUUAGCUGGGAGGUCUGUCAUGGGGAACAAGCCCAUAGCCUCCAGUUAGGCAAUUAUAACAUCUUAGACUGGAGCCCCUGUGGCCGUUUGCAGGGCCAACUUACUGAUGUCCUCAUCCAUAAUGUCAUCAAUCCCAGUUUCAUAGCCUCAUCAUAUUCCCCUAUGAUUUGGGCUGAUGAGGGGAUGAGAUACCCCAGACCCCAAGUAAAGUCCAUGCCAGCCCAAGACACUUCAUGGUACCUGGGGCAUCUCAGCAUCUCAGCAUGGGACAUAUCAUGAUUCCAGUCACAACUAUACGAUAACGUUUAUUCAUAAUCACACUGUUCAGUCCCUAAUUUGCACUCCCCAUCCAUAUGUUUUCCUUAUGGGAACUGUUAUUUCCAUUACACCUCAAAACUGUGUUGCUGACCCAGGUGCAGGGAGAGGCUUGGUUUCCCUCAUGACAAUAUGUCUAAUUAUUGCUAGUGUCAUGGUAUUGAGACAAUCUGAGGCAUUAUUACCAGUCAAUUUGACAUGCAAUUGGCGAGGUUUCUCUGCCUUUGCCUUCUUAGAACAUGCCCUAACCCAGGUCAGACCCAAAAGAUUCAUAGAUGCACUUAUAGCCUUUAUAAUCUUAGCCAUAGUCAUCCCAGCAAGUGCUAGUGUGGCUAUACCAUCUAUUACUGAAUCAGUACAAACAGCUGCUAUUGUAGAUAAUUUAGCCCGAAAUGUGUCUAACGAACUUCUCUUACAGCAGGGUAUAGAUCAAAAGAUACUUACAUGUCUGCAAGCCCUCGAGGCUGGCUUGGAAUAUGUGGGGGAGUCACAAGAUGCCCUGGCAUUCUGAUAGCAAUUAAACUACGACUGGGAGCAUAAACAUAUCUGUGUCACUUCUCUUCCAUGGAAUCAAUCAAUACAUAAUUGGGAUGAGGUGAAACAACACCUCUGGGGAACCUUUCAUGACAAGUCAACAGCAGAUGUAAAGCAACUUAAAACUAAAAUUUUAGAAUCCCUUCCCACUACAGAUCUAUACACCCAACAA